UACGUAGGGGGCAAGCGUUGUCCGGAAUCAUUGGGCGUAAAGAGCGCGUAGGCGGUCCGGUAAGUCCGCUGUGAAAGUCGGGGGCUCAACCCUCGAAUGCCGGUGGAUACUGUCGGGCUAGAGUCCGGAAGAGGCGAGUGGAAUUCCUGGUGUAGCGGUGAAAUGCGCAGAUAUCAGGAGGAACACCAAUGGCGAAGGCAGCUCGCUGGGACGAUACUGACGCUGAGGCGCGAAAGCGUGGGGAGCAAACAGG
Molecule: ribosomal RNA, 253 nt
Filed under: uncultured bacterium
Lineage: Bacteria
Description: partial 16S ribosomal RNA
Rfam family: Bacterial small subunit ribosomal RNA
Source: RNAcentral